RNAcentral lists this ribosomal RNA (497 nucleotides) under uncultured bacterium. Its description in RNAcentral is "partial 16S ribosomal RNA". It matches the Rfam family "Bacterial small subunit ribosomal RNA", at positions 28 to 507 of the family's 1533-position model. The record is from RNAcentral.
GACGAACGCUGGCGGCGUGCCUAAUACAUGCAAGUAGAACGCUGAAACUUGGUGCUUGCACCGAGCGGAUGAGUUGCGAACGGGUGAGUAACGCGUAGGUAACCUGCCUGGUAGCGGGGGAUAACUAUUGGAAACGAUAGCUAAUACCGCAUAAGAGUAGAUGUUGCAUGACAUUUGCUUAAAAGGUGCAAUUGCACCACUACCAGAUGGACCUGCGUUGUAUUAGCUAGUUGGUGGGGUAACGGCUCACCAAGGCGACGAUACAUAGCCGACCUGAGAGGGUGAUCGGCCACACUGGGACUGAGACACGGCCCAGACUCCUACGGGAGGCAGCAGUAGGGAAUCUUCGGCAAUGGACGGAAGUCUGACCGAGCAACGCCGCGUGAGUGAAGAAGGUUUUCGGAUCGUAAAGCUCUGUUGUAAGAGAAGAACGAGUGUGAGAGUGGAAAGUUCGCACUGUGACGGUAUCUUACCAGAAAGGGACGGCUAACUACGUG